AGUAGUAAGGUAUGGAUGUAUGGUAGUGUGGGAUAUGAACGAUGAUUGAAAGGGGUCAUAACGCUCUCUCUUAACUUCGGGUUUUCUUAAUGAAGAUAAUUCCUUCUCCUAUAUAUUAAGUCGAAUUAUAAUCGAAGUAAGGGGGUAAGUUAGAAAGGGAAUUAAAGAGGGAUAGAAAAAGUAGAUACUUCAUUGUGCUUGUUUUAACUUUGUCCAUGGCACUGGCAUUGCUGGGAGCUCUGUGGAAGGAACUCAGUAACUCAGUAGAGAAA
Non-coding RNA from Pelobates cultripes (western spadefoot toad), 272 nucleotides. NCBI's taxonomy places the organism in Eukaryota, Metazoa, Chordata, Amphibia, Anura, Pelobatidae. The record is from the annotation of a GenBank genome assembly.